UUAUUUAUUUAUUUUAUUUUAAUUAUUUCCCCAUCCAACCCCUAAAUCAUUCACCCGCCACACCUUUUCCUCUCUACCAGGCUAGACUUAGUCCACCACCUUGGAGAAAAUUAGGCCAGUCCUUUCAUUUAUCUUCCCUUGACCGGGGCAAAGAUACGCUCAGACCUUGAUCUUAUCGACAGGAUGUCUGACAGCCGCGGUUGACACCACCUUGGUUUGAAUGCAAGCUAAUCCUCCCCCCCCCCUUUCCUCACGUCUCUCUUUGAUCUAAGAGAUUACCCUGGUCAACACACCGCGUGAUACUCCAAGGUGCGGCUCUUGUCGGAUUUCACCCACGUGUAAGAUAAUUCUUAGCCUAGGACAUUUCCGGUGUCCGCCCACACUUUUCAGGCAUAUAUAUAUAGUAAACCAACUCAAAUCACCCUCUCUUUCUCAUUCGAGCUGAGCUAUCGAGUCUGGACUAUAUCACUUAUUCUUUCUCCUAGAGGAAUACCUGGUGCCUCCCUCAGGUGUCUGCCUAUUUGUUUGAUAUCAAGAAUCACCUACUAUUUAUGUGCUGAGUGCUAUCCAGCACUGCACUGUCCUACUGAGACCUGCCUAUUUAUCGGAUUACUUACCUGCCUAUUUGCCUACUGGCCUAUCUAUGUGCUUAGUGCUAAUCAGCGCUGCACUUACCUAGUCGCUAUCAAGAAUCACAUAUUGCCUAGUUAUUGGAUCAACGAUCUAUUUACCUGCAGUUGUGCUUAGUGCUAUUCAGCGCUGCACUUGCCCACUGAGAUCUACUCAACUCUACUACUUGGCGCUAUCGGCAUUGCCCGCCUAUUCGACAGCCCACCUGUCAAGCUAUUAGGUGCGACGUCCCUAUAGACCAGAUCUGUGUGAGACGUCAUAGCUACGCCAACCCUCUGCAACUCACUGGACAUAUCCUGUCAGCCACGCUGCCCACGGCAGAUCAGCUCUGCCCGCAGUAACCUUGUGCCCACGGUAUCCGGCCACCCGCCAUACUGUGCCCACUACAGAUACUAGAACUUGGGACUGAGACUCCACAAGAACUAUAUCGCCGGCGUCCCUCUAUCCGCUAGAGCGCCACCUCCAGCUGCAGAACCUCAAGCCAGGACACAGCCAGCUGCGACAUCAACAGGACAACCAGCUAAGUCAGAGGACAAAGUGACAUACUCUCUUAUUAUGUGCAAGAGUGAUGAUUAAACAUAGAAUAUACUAGAGAUAGAUGCAAACCCUCCCCCUUUUUCUUAUUAUAUGUAUAUUUAUGUAAAUAAAUAUCCUUUAUUUUAACUUU
Molecule: long non-coding RNA, 1297 nt
Organism: Biomphalaria glabrata
Lineage: Eukaryota; Metazoa; Mollusca; Gastropoda; Planorbidae
Exons: 2
Source: RefSeq, a predicted model, not a curated record